CAGCAGCCACGGUAAUACGUAGGGUGCGAGCGUUAAUCGGAAUUACUGGGCGUAAAGCGUGCGCAGGCGGUUCGUUAAGACAGAUGUGAAAUCCCCGGGCUUAACCUGGGAACUGCAUUUGUGACUGGCGAGCUAGAGUAUGGCAGAGGGGGGUAGAAUUCCACGUGUAGCAGUGAAAUGCGUAGAGAUGUGGAGGAAUACCGAUGGCGAAGGCAGCCCCCUGGGCCAAUACUGACGCUCAUGCACGAAAGCGUGGGGAGCAAACAGGAUUAGAUACCCCGGUAGUCCCUGUCUCUUAUAC
Molecule: ribosomal RNA, 301 nt
Filed under: uncultured bacterium
Lineage: Bacteria
Description: partial 16S ribosomal RNA
Rfam family: Bacterial small subunit ribosomal RNA
Source: RNAcentral